RNAcentral lists this ribosomal RNA (322 nucleotides) under uncultured eukaryote. Its description in RNAcentral is "partial 18S ribosomal RNA". It matches the Rfam family "Eukaryotic small subunit ribosomal RNA", at positions 1470 to 1796 of the family's 1831-position model. The record is from RNAcentral.
CCCUUAGAUGUUCUGGGCCGCACGCGUGCUACACUGAGUGGAUCAGCGGGUCAGGUUGCGCGAAAGUGUUUCCUAAUCUUGAAAUCCGCUCGUGAUGGGGAUUGACGGUUGCAAUUUUCCGUCAUGAACGAGGAAUACCUUGUAAGCGCGGGUCAUCAUCCCGCGCUGAAUACGUCCCUGCCCUUUGUACACACCGCCCGUCGCUCCUACCGAUUGAGUGGUCCAGUGAGGCUUUGGGAUCUGAGCAAAGAGAGCGUUUCGCUCGUUUUGCCCGGAAAACUCAGUCGAACCUUAUCAUUUAGAGGAAGGAGAAGUCGUAACA